This is a long non-coding RNA of Delphinapterus leucas (beluga whale), 20006 nucleotides long. RefSeq lists it as uncharacterized. The record is from RefSeq and is a predicted model, not a curated record. NCBI's taxonomy places the organism in Eukaryota, Metazoa, Chordata, Mammalia, Artiodactyla, Monodontidae.
AGCCCCAGCCCAGGCUCAGUCCUGUUUCUCCCUAAAGCCCGUGAAAUUUGCAUUGAUUCAGUGCUAAAAAUAAGUUGUCCGUUGCUCACCCAGUAGACUGGGAUACCCUGUGUGCCUCUAGCAUUGCAGAUCUUGAAUGCUGACUACCUGAGUCACCAUUUUCAAUUAAUGUACAGAAUCCCUUUUGUCCAUUGUCCCAUGUUAGAACAAAGAAUCCACACACCCUUUGCAUUGUUAGGAAAUGUUAAUUAAUUGAGAGCUUUCAUAAGUCUAGUUACUCAAUCUUCUCAAUCCCCUGUCCUUAAGGAAGGAGAAACCAUUCCUCUGUCAUUGCUGCAGUAGUCACAAUCCCAGUUUUCUGGACAGUGCAUAUAUACUGUGCUGACCACCUAAACUCUUUGCACUGAGUGAAAUUCUAAUUGUUCAUAAUCCUGCCCAUUGGAUUAGAUCCCAGUCAAAAACCCUUUUGCAUUCAGCAGGGGGCACAGAAAACCCAGAUUUUUUGUUCCACAGUUAAUGUGCUCAGUCCCAAUUGUCAUAGCCUUGUCCAUUAAACAAAGGCAUCCUACCAAUUUUGCUCUGCUUUUCGGGAGUCCUGCUGUUCUUGGACAAUUAAAGUACCAAACUGUACAUCGUCUUCCCCAUUAAUCAAUGACCCUCCAUCCCAUUCGCAUUGCUAUUAGGCAGUGCUGACUACCUGAGACCAUCUUCCUCGAAUUAUUAAUGAGAAGAAUCCCAAUUGUUCAUUACACAAGUCCUCUGCAACUUUUUUGCACUACAGCAGAAGUGCUCAUCCUCAAAGUCCUUUACUUUGGUAUAUUAAUGGGUACAACUACUGUUAGUCAUGGUCCUGCCUAACAGGUUAAGACCCGCCCAUGCUCUUCAUUGCUCUUAGGCAGUUCAGACUACCUAUCACUUUGUAUUAAUAUGUAAAAUCCUCAUUUCCCAUGGUCCCAUCCAUUAGCCUAGGAUAUCCCUUACUUCUGUGCCAUUUCUUCUGAGGAGUUCUGAUUACCCAAAGUCCCUUCUCUUAUUAAACAAUUGAUGUGCAUAAUUACAUAUAUCUAUGGUCCCAUGCAAUAAAAAAUGAAAUCCCACACUUGGUGGACUGCUGCUAGGUCAUGCAGAUUAUUCAAGAACUCAGCUUUUGGACAGUUAAUUUGCACAGUUGCAGUUGUCCAGAGUCCUAUCCAUUUUAAUGGGCCACUGUAUCCCAUUUGCAUGCUAUAUGGGUCAGACUCUCAAGGAACCUUCUCUUGAAUUGAUAAUGUUCAUAGUUGCAUUUGUCAAUGUCCUGUGAAUUAGUCACACCCACCCACUUUGUAUUCCAGCAGAGGACACUUACUACUUAAGAACUCUGCACUAGGACAUUUUAUGUGCACAAACCUAAUUGAUUACGCCUGAGCCUUUUGUAUCAGGAACCCUGCACCAUCUUUACUUCUGAAAGGUGCUAAUUAUCUAAGGCCAUUUCCUGACACUGUUCAGGUGCAAAAUUGCAGUCCCAAUGACUCCUUUCUUUAAACUAGAAUCCCAUCCCCAACUAACUGCCUUUGCAUUACAGCAGAGGAUACUUCCGGCAGUUAAUGGGCUUGAUUGCAGCUACAGACCCCUCUGUUAGUCUAGCACCAAUUCCCCUCCUAGAUGAUUUGCAUUACUACAGGCAGUACAAGGGACUGAUAAUGGACUUAGACAGCUACAGUCCCUUAUGUUAACCUAGGAACCCAUCCCCACCUAACUCCCUUUGAGUGAGGAGGGUACUGCGGAGGGUACUUGGAACUGUUAAUGAGCUUUAUUACAGCUACAGUUCCUUUUGUCACUCUAGAAUCCAUUCCCUUCCUACUCAAUUUGCAUUACCACAAAGGGCACAAGGGACUGUUAAUGUGCUUAAGUGGAGCUACAGUCCCUUAUGUUAACCUAGGAACCCAUGCCCCCCAACUCCUUUUGCAUUAAUGCAGAGCCUACAUGGACUUGUUAAUGGGCUUAAUUGUACUGCCGUCCCUUCUGUUAGUCUAGAAUCCCAUCCCUCCUACUCAAUUUGUGUUACCCCAGAAUGUAUGAGAGGCUGUUACUGUGCUUAAAUGCAUCUAUAGUCUCUUAUGUUUACCUAUGAUCCCAUUCCUGUCUAAAUCUCUUUGCAUGACUGCAGAGGGUACUUGGGACUGUUAAUAGGCUCAAUUAGAGCUACAGUCCCUUCUGUUAGCAGAGUCCCAUGCCCUCCUACUCUAUUUGUAUUACCAAAAGGGGGACAAUGGACUGUUAAUGGGCUUUAUUGCAGAUACAGUCCCUUCUGUUAAUCUAGAAUGUUUCCUUCUUCUUGGAUUUGCAUUACCACAGAGGGUACAGGGACUGUUAAUGUCCUUAAAUGCAGCUGCAGUCCCUUAUGUUAACCUAGGAUCCCAUCCCCAACUAUCUCCCUUUUCAUUACUGCAGAGCCUACAUAGAACUUGCUAAUGGGCUUAAUUGUACUACUGUCCCUUAUCUUAGCCUAGGAUCCCAUCCCCUCCUAAUUCCCUUUAGAUCACCAAAGAGGACACAAGGGACUGUUAAUGUGCUUUUAAAUGCAUGUACAAGCUCCCUCCCCCUGUUUUUUAACCUAGGAUUCCAUUCCCACCUCACUCUCUUUUCAUGACUGCAGAGGGUACUUGGGACUGUUAAUGGGUUUUACUGCAGCUACAGUCCCUUCUGUUAGUCUAGAUUCCCAUUCACUCCUACAUGAUUUACAUUAACACAGAAGGCACAAAGGACUGCUAAUGUGCUUAGAGCUACAGUCCUUUAUGUUAAUCUAGGAUGCCAUUGCCACCUAACUCCCUUUUCAUUACUGCAGAGCCUACAUGGACUUGUUAAUGGGCUUAAUGGCACUGCUGUCCCUUCUGUUAAUCUAGGAGUCCAUCCCACCUACUCAAUUUGCAUUAUCCCAGAGUGUACAAGAGACUGUUACUGUGCUUAAAUGCAUCUACAGUCUCUUACGUUUACCUAUGACCCCAUUCCCACCUAACUCCCUUGCACUACCACAGAGGGUACAAUGGACUGUUACUGUGCUUAAAAGCAGCUACAGUUCCUUAUGUUUAUCUAGGACCCUAUUCCCGCCUGACUCCCUUUUAAUGACUGCAGAGGGUACUUGGGACUGUUAAUGGGCUUUACUGCAGCUACAGUCCCUUCUGUAAAUCUAGAAUCAGUUUCCUUCUUACUGGAUUUGCAUUACCACAUAGGGUAACUGGGACUGUUAAUGUGCUUAAAUGGAGCUAUAGUCCCUUAUGUUAACCUAGGAUCCCAUUCCCACCUAACUUCCUUUUCAUUAAUGCAGAGCCUAUAUGGGACUUGUUAAUGGGCUUAAUUGCACUGCUGUCCCUCCUAUUAGUCUAGGAGCCCAUUCCUCUUACUUGAUUUGCAUUACCCUAGAGUGUAGAGACUAAUAUCCUUAAAUGCAUCUACAGUCUCUCACGUUUACCGAUGAUCCCAUUCCCAUUUAAAGCUCUUUGAAUGACUGCAGAGGGUGCUUGGGGGAGUUAAUGGGCUCAAUUAGAGCCAUAAUCCCUUCUGUUAUUCGAGAUUCCCAUGCCCUCCUACUCCAUUUGCAUUACCAAAGGGGAUACAAGGAAAUGUUAAUGUGCUUAAAUGCAAUUACCUAGGAUCCCCUCCCCACCUAACUCCCUUUUCGUGAUUGCAGAGAGUACUUGGGACUGUUAAUGGGCUUUGUUGCAGGUACAGUCCCUUCUGUUAUCUAGAAUCUGUUCCAUCCUACUCCAUUUGCAUUAACACAGAGUACAGGGACUGCUAAUGUGCUUAAAUAGAGCUACAGUCCUUUAUGUUACUCUAGGAUCCCAUUGCCACCUAACUCCCUUUUCAUUACUGCAGAGCCUACAUGGAUUUGUUAAUGGGCUUUAUUACACUGCUGUCCCUUCUGUUCGUCUAGAAUCCCAUCCCUGUACUCAGUUUGCAUUACCCCAGAGUACACGAGAGACUGUUACUGUGCUUAAAAGCAGCUACAGUCUCUUAUGUUUACCUAUGAUCCCAUUCCCACCUAACUCCCUUUUAAUGACUGCAGAAAGUACUUGGGACUUUUAAUGGGCUUAAAUGCAGCUACAGUCCCCUGUCUUAACCUAGGAUCCCAUCCCUAAUUAUCUCCCUUCCAUUACUGCAGAGCCUACAUAGGACUUGUUAAUGGCCUUAGUUGCACUACUGUCCCUUCCGUUAGUCUAGGAUCCCAUCCCUACCUAAUUCCUUUUAGGUUACCAAAGAGGAUACAAGGGACUGUUAAUAUGCUUAAAUGUAGAAACAUUUGCUUUUUUUAGGUAGGAUCCUAUUCUCACCUAACUCCCUUUGCAUUACCACAGAGGGUACAAGGGACUGUUACUGUGCUUAAAAGCAGCUACAGUCACUUAUAUUAACCUAGGAUCCCAUCCCCAACUAUCUCCCUCUUCAUUACUGCAGAGCCUACAUAGAACUUGCUAAUGGGCUUAAUUGUACUGCUGUCCCUUAUCUUAGCCUAGUAUCCCAUUAGAGCUAAUUACCUCCUAAUUCCCUUUAGAUUACCAGAGGACACAAAGGACUGUUAAUGUGCUUUUAAAUGCAAGUGAAAUCUCUCCCCGCCCUCCUUUAAACCUAGGAUUCCAUUCCCACCUCACUCUCUUUUCAUGACUGCAGAGGGUACUUGGGAUUGUUAUUGGGCUUUAUUGCAGCUACAGUCCCUUCUGUUACCCUAGUUGCCCAUCCACUCCUACAUGAUUUGCGUUACCACAGGAUCUACAAGGGACUGUUAAUGGGCUUAAAAACAGCUACAGCUCCUUAUGUUAACCUAGGAUUUCAUCCCCACCUAACUCUCUUUUCACAACUGCAGAGGGUACUUGGGACUGUUAAUGGGCUCAAUUAGAGCUACAGCCCCUUCUGUUAGUCCAGAUUCCCAUGCCCUCCUACUCAAUCUGCAUUACCAAAGGGAGUACAAUGGAUUGUUUAUGUGCUUAAAUGGAGCUACAGUCCCUUUUGUAACCUAAGAUUCCAUUUCCACCUAACUCCCUUUCCUGACUGCAGAGGGUACUUGGGACUGUUACCGAGCUUACUGUAGCUGCAUUCCCUUCUGUUAGUGUACAUUCCCAUCCUCUCUUACACAGUUUGCAUUACCACAAACUGUAUAACUAUUAAUGUGCUUAAAUGCAACUACAGUCCCUUAUGUUAACCUAGGAUCCCAUUCCCACCUAACUCCCUUUUCAUUAAUGCAGAGCCUACAUGGGACUUGUUAAUGGGCUUAAUUGCACUGCCCUCCCUUCUAUUAGUCUAGAUUCCCAGGCUGUCCUCGAUUUGCAUUACCAAAGGGGGUAUAAUGGACUGUUAAUGUGCUUAAAUGCAGCUACAGUCCCUUUUUUUUUUUUUUUUACCUAGGAACCCAUUCCUACCUAACUCCCUUUUCAUGACUGCAGAGGGUACUUGGGACUGUUAAUGGGCUUAAUCACAGCUACAGUCCCUUCUCUUAGUCUAGAUUCCCAUCCCCUCCUACAGAUUUACAUUACCACAGAGGAUACAAGGGACUGUUAAUGUGCUUAAAUGCAGGUAUAGUCCCCUUUAUUGUUUCACCUAGGAUCCCAUUCCCAGCUAAUCCCCUUUGCAUUACCACUGACUGUACAAGGGACUGUUAACAUGCUUAAAUGCAAUUAUAGUCCCUUACGGUAAUCUUGGAUCCCACCCCCAACUAACUCACUUUGUAUGACUGCAGAGAAUACUUGGGACUUUAAAUGUGAUUGAUCGCAGCUACAGUCCUUUCUGUUAGUCUAGGAUCCGUUCCCUUCCUUCUUGAUUUGCAUUACCAGAGGAGGGUAGAAGGGAUGGUUAAUGUACUUAAAUGGAUCUACAGUCCCUUUUGAUAACCAGGAUCCCAUUUCCACCUAACUCCUUUUGCACUACCACAGAGGCUACAAAGUACUGUUGAAGUGCUUAAAUGCAGCUACAGUCCCUUACGUUAACCUAGGAUCUUGUUCCCACCUAACUCCCUUUGCAUGACUGCAGAGGGUAUUUGGGACUAUUAAUGGGCUUUACUGAAGCCACAGUCCCUUAGUCUAGGAUCCCAUCCCCUCCUACAGGAUUUACAUUACCACGGAGGGUACAAGGGACUGUUAUGGUGCUUAAAUGCAGGUAGAGUUCAAGGAUCCCAUUUCCACCUGCCUCCAUUUGCAUUACCAAAGAGGCUACCAGGGACUGCUAAUGUGUUUAAAUGCAGGUACAGUGCCUUGAGUUAACCCCGAAAUCCCACCUAACUCCCUUUUCAUGACUGCAGAUGGUAAUUGGGACUGUUAACAAGCUUUAAUGCAGCUACAGUUUCCCUCUUAGUCUAGAAUCCCAUUUCCUCCUACUUGAUUUAUAUUACCACAGAGUGUACAAGGGAUUUUUAAUGUGCUUAAAUGGCACUACAGUCCCUUAUGUUACCUAUGAUCCCAUUCCCACCUAACUCCCUUUGCAUGACUGCAGAGCGUACUUGGGACUGUUAAUGCGUUUACCUGCCUAUACAGUCUCAUCUGUCCGUCUAGAUUCCCAUGCCCUCCUACUCAAUUUGCAUUAUAAAAGAGGGUACAAAGGACUGUUAAUGUGCUUAAAUGCAGUUACAGUCCCUUUGUAAGGUGGGAUCCCAUUCCCACGUAACUCCCUUUGCAUCAUCCCAGAGGCUACAAGGGACUUUCAAUGUGCUUAAAUGCAGGUACAGUCCCUUAUGUUAACUUUGAACUAUAUUCCCACCUAACUCCCUUUACAUCACUGCAAAGGGUACUUGGGACUCUUAAUGGGCUUCAUUGAAGCUGCUGUCCCUUCUGUUGGUCUAGAUUCCCUUUCCCUCCUUGAUUUGCAUUACCACAGUGUACAAUGGACUGUUACUGUGCUUGAAUGCAGGUACAGUCCUUUUUUUUUAACCUAGGAUCCCAUUCCCACCUAACUCCCUUUGCAUUUCUGCAGAGGGCACUUGGGACUAUUUUAAUUGGACUCCUGUCCCUUCGUUAGUCUGGGAUCCCAUCCCCUCCUACUUGAUUUGCCUUUCCACAGAGGCUACAAGGGACUGUUAAUGUGCUUAUUAAAUGCAGGUACAAUCCCUUAUGUUAACCUAGGAUCCCAUUCCCACCUAUCUCCUUUUGCAUGACUGCAGAGGUAUUUGAGACCUUUAAAGUGGUUAGUGGCAGCUGUAGUCCCAUCUGUUAAGUGUACUUUCUCAAGCACUCCAAUUCCCUCACGUAACUUGGGAACAUAUUUCGGACUGUCACUGUGCUCGUUUUUUGGCUGUGGUCCCUUUGUAAUUCUAGGAUCUCAUCCCUUUCUACUCAUUUGUAUUACUUGUUGGUAUUGGGACAGAAAGGUGCUUAAAUGCAGCUGUAAUCUGUUUUGUUAAUCUAGGAUUCCAUGCCCUCUAACUCCCUUAACAUUACCCAGGAGUGUAUUUGGGACUGUUGAAGUGCUUAAUUGCAUCUGUGGUCCCUUCUGUUAGUCUCACUUCCCAUGCCCUCUUACUCCCUUUGCAUUACAGCAGAGGGCACUUGGGACUAUUAAAGUGUUUAAUUGCAGCUGUGGUCCCUUCUCUUAGUCUGGGGUCCAUCCCCUCCAGCUUUGUUUGCAUUACCACAGAAGGUACUUGGAUCUGUGAAUGUGUUUAAAUGCAGAUGUGGUCCCUUUUGUUAGUUUUGGAUCCCAUGACUCCCUUUACAUUACCUGGGAGGGCAUUUGGGACUGUCAUGAUGGUAAUUGCACCUGUGUUCCCUUCUGUUGGUCUAGAAUCCCGUUACCUCCUACUCCCUUUGCAUUACAUGGGAGCGUUUUUGGGACUCUUAAGAUGCUUAACUGCAACUAUGGUCCUUUCUGUCAGUCUAGUUUCCAGUCCCUUUCUACUCUCUUUGCAUUACCACAGAGGGUACUUGGGACUGUUGUGGUGCAUCCCAUCCUCUCACACCCUGUCAGCAUUACAGCAUAGGGUCCUGAACACCAAGGCCCCUUCUUUUCACUGUUAAUGCACAAUUGCAUUUGUCCUUCUUCCUCUGCAGUAUAUAAAGACCUCACUAAUUUCCCUUGUAUUCAGUGGUGGAUGCCCUUUACUCAAGACUUUUGUACUAGAAUAAAGUGACCCAUGGUAAUUGACCACAAAUAUAUCUUUCACUUAAGUCCCUUGUACUCUCUUUGUUUUAUAAGAAGAUGUAUUAAUUACCUCCGUUACUUUUUCUGGGAGUAUUUACAUGCAAAAUUCCAGUGUUCAAGGCCCCUCUCUUUAAAUUAAUAUCCCUCCCUUUCUGUAUUAUAUCAGGGGAUGUUAGUGACUCAGAGUCCUUCUCUUGGGACUCAUUGUGCAUGUGCCCUCAUGACAAGCUAAUAUCUUGAGUUCUUAGUAUUAUAGGAGGGACUACUGACUAGUUUCUCUUUUGGACAGUUAAUGUGCAAAAUUACACUAGGAUUCCAUCACAUUUCACCUCCUUUGCAUCAGGAGUCCUGAUCAACUGUGGCUGCUUUUCCUCUAGAGUAUAAAUGUGCAUAAUUUCAGUAACCCAUGCUCCCUUCUGUUAGAUUAGGAUCCCAUUUCCUUGCCCCAUUUACGUUACUGCGGGGGCUUCUGACUAGCCAAGAUUCUUUUUCUUGGACUGUUAAUGUGUAUACUUACAUUUGCUCCUGUACCUGUACACCAGGUAAGGACCCUCUCCAUUCUAUUUAUAUUCCAACAGGAGGUGCCUACUACUCAAGAUCUUACACACUACUGCAGUUAAUGUGCACAAUCUUAGUUGUCUUGUAUACAUUCUCAGUUGUCCACAACUGUGCUUUUUAGAUCAGGACUCCACUUAUUGAAACACAGGUUACUUACUACUUUAAAGCCCUUGUUUUGGGACUGUGACUAUGUGUAAUUAAAAUUGUCCAUGGUCCUUUGAGUUAACUUGUGUCCCUGACUCUUUUCACACUCUCUUUGCUUUACUGCAUGGGGUACUGUUCACUUAAGGCCCCUUUCUCAAAUACGUGUAAUGACAAUUACAUUAGGAUCCUUCCCCUUCAAACCCCUUAGAAGUACCACAAAGAUUUUGACCCCUAAGUCCCAUUUCUUGUCCUGUUACUGUAUUUGUCUGGGUUCCUGUGCACUAGACAAGGACACCUCUCUAUUCCCUGUCCUUCCAGCAGGAAGUGCCCCCUCCACAGGACUGUUAAAUUUGGACAGUCAAGGUGCACAGUUGUAACUGACCACAACCAGUCACCUUGGACAUUAAUGUGCAUAACUGCACAUGGCUCAUCCCAUAUGGAUAAGAUCCUAUCCUCUCAGACCCCUUUUGUAGUACAGCAGGGGUAAUGAUCACUAAGGCCUCUUUUUAUGGCUUGUUAUUGUGCAUAAUUGCAUUUGUGCAUGUUCCUGUACAGUUGAUGGGGGCACCUAUCUCCCCACUCCCUUUGUCUUUUAGCAGGGAGUGCCCGCUACUUUAAGAUCCUUAUAUUUGUACAAGGUAUACGAUUUUAAUUGACCACACCAUGUCCCUUCGACAUUAAUGUACAUAACUGCAACUUAGUUCAUCUUAUCCUGUUGCCCUCCAUUUGCAGUAUAUCAGGGUUGCUGACCCCUAAAUCCCCAUUCCUUGGCCUGUUAAUGUGCAUAUUUGCAUUUGGUUCUUGGGCAAUAGACAAGGAUCCCCUCCUCCCCCACAUUUCCUAUGCCUUCCAGUAGGUUGUGCCCACCACCAAGACCUUUCUAUUUGGACAGUUAAUGUGCAGAAUUGCAGUUUUUCACAACCCUGUUACUUCUAGGACUAUUUUAUCUCCUUUGUAAUACUGCAGGGGAUACUGUUUUCCCCCAAGGUCCCUUCUAGUGGACCGUUAAUAUACAUAAUCGAAAUUGUUGUCUUUAUCAGUAGACUAAUGUCAUAUCCCCUCAGCUAACUAUCAUGACCUCAGCUCUUGGACAAUUAAUAUGCACCAAUAACAUAUCAAAAGUACGAUCAUUAGAUAGGAUCCCUGUACCCUCACUGUAUACAUCAGGGGUACUGACUAAGGCCCCUUUUUUGGACUGAUAAUGUGAAUAUUUGCAAUUAUCUAUUCUCCCUUCUUUCUAGAGUCGGAUAGCAUCCCUUUGCACCCCCUUUGCAUUACUGCAGGGGCUGCUAAUGACACAAAACUUCUACUGGGACUGCUGAUGAGCACAAUGGCAUUUAGCAAUGGGUUUUUCCUCCCUGGCUUUGUUAGGCAAGCAUUCCCAGCUCCAACUUCCCAUGGCAUAAUAAAGUAUAAACACUGCAGUAUGCUGUGAACUUGUCCAUCAAACAACGACCGAUACUCCCACUUCUUUUGCACUGGCUCCAGUGUAUCAAACUCCAAGUAGUCAUAGUCUUGCCAUUAUCUUCCCUCUCCAGACCACUUGCCUGCCCUUGGACCCUUCUUACGGAAUAUUAAUGCUCACAAUUUCAGGUGUCCAUGUAUCCAGAUAAGAUUGUGCUCUCUUGCCCCUCCUGCUCCUGCCCUGCCCCUUUUGCAUAGUUGAUGGGGAAUGUUGACUGAGCAAAAUGCUUUUCUCUUGGACUUAAAACGUUAACAAUCUCAGAUGUCAUUGUUUUGCCCAUUUUGAAUUUCUGUAAUACCUUGGUUGCACUUUCUUUGGUCCGGCCCGUUAGACAUGGACCCUUCCACUUCCUUCUUUGCAUUACUUCUGAGUAGUGCUGACCUCCCACAACCCCUUUGGUGUUAUUAACACAGUAUUAAUUGUCCAGUUUUUUAGCCCAUCAGCCCAAGAUCUCCCUACCACUUUGAUGUUGUGUUUGUGCAGUAUUGACUACCAAAAGCAGGCCUGAACUAGGUGGCUGGGCCUUCACUCCUUUUCCUGCAUUUGUCAAUGAUCCCAGUUCCAAUUAUUUUUACAUUCUGGGGACAGGAACCAUUCCUGCCCCCCUCUUACUGCUUUACUAGUUAAAAUGCCCAAGGCAAGUCAGACCCAAGGGAACUGGAUUGCUACCCUUUAUUUUGGGUUUUCAUUAUACAUAAGUAUCAAUUGAAAAUUGUCUCCCCAGGAAGGAAGUUUAGCACUAUCUGUGCAUUCUUCCUUUCAAAGCAGAUUGCCUGGCUAAGACUCUCUCCUCUCUUCUUGUAUAUUGCCAUUGUAUAGUGUCAACUGCCAAGAUACAACCAAAAAGUUGCUGUUAAUUUUUUAUGUUGUAAGGAAGAUUGCAAGGUAGAAUUGAUAACCUGGUCAUUGAAAUUUUGAAGUCUAAAAACCUAUUUAUACCAUGUACCUGAUGACCAGUGUCUCUCAUUUUACUAAGGGUGGUGGGUCUGUGGAUAGACCACUGUGACUUUGAUAUUUUAGUAUGAUCAAAGGAGUUCUAGAGUGGAACUCUUAAGACCAGUAUCUUUGGGCUCUACCACCAUUUUCAAACCAUUCCUUGUUUGGGCUUUAACAAUUUUCACUUUUAGAAAAACUACCUAAACCUCCUAAUCCUUAAAUUUUUUCAUCUGGAGCUCCAACCAGCCCCUACUUAUUUCAAGAAGAUUGCGUAAAAGGAUAAAAAUGAGAGAACAUAUGCUGAGGUGCUUUUGAAAACCAUAGAUCAAUUUAUUUGAUUAAUCUAUUACAUAAAAUGCCCCCUGUUUAAUUCUGCUAAUUUAAAGUAGCCUAAAGCACAACACUGAAGUGAGGACUUAGAAAUGAUGGAACCAGUUUCCCCAUUUUAUAUGAAAAGAAAAAUAAGCCAAGGUCUAAUCAUUCUUUUGGAUAUAAAUUUCAACAGUGAGGUAGCUGCCUGGUAAAAAUGAAUAAUAUUCCAGCUCUAGUGUACAGGGUGUUUGGUGGCAGAGAAGUAUUUAAUAUGGAACUGCUGGAGCAAAUAACUAGUUAUCACUACAGCAGUUCUUUGUAAUCGCUGAGAAAGGAUACUCUUCUCUGAGAAGGAUGUCAAAAGAUUCGCCCAGCUCAGGGUGCUGUUUGCACUACUAGCUUCUUGGACAGCUGUAAGAAGUCUCUGGCUCUUUAGAAUACUGGAUGAAUUCUGAGCUGGUACCCCCACUCAAGAGGAAGGAUGGAUCGAUUUUAGGUGGAUUGAAGCCUGCCCUAGACAGCAUCCAAAGUUCUUCUGUGAUACUGCCAGUGCUUGCCAUUACAGGACCUUAAGGAGACAACAGGCUAGAGAGGAGAGACAGGAGACACCUGUAUCUAAUGCUUCAGGACAUUCUGAGCAUGUGAGACCUGAGGAACUGCAAGCAGCUUUAAGAAGCUCUACAUUCAACAGGUCUUUCCUUUUGAGAAUCUGGAUAAGCUCCAAACAAUCUAAGAGGAUGGCUUGCCGGCUCCCUGGAGAAAAAGAUCUUCCUCAGAAGAAUAGGCUUGUUGCUUUACAGUGUUAAUGACCCAUUCCCUUUGACGAUCCCUAGGUGGAGAUGGGGCAUGAGGAUCCUCCAAGGGAAAAACUCACUAUCACUGAGCAACAACCCUAGGCCAGGAGGUUCUACCAAGAUUCUUUCCUGGGCCCAGUUAGGAGGAUGAAAUCUCAAGACAACCACCACACAUCCAGAGGAGAACAUGGACAACAACUGCCACAUCUGUGACAUUGAUCAUGGGCAGAUCAUCAUUCUGGACCCUCUGGUCUCCAAAGUCUCCCUUGAGGCCCUGUUGGAGAACUUUGCCAAUCAUUUACGUACUUCAAGAUGCCUUGGGAUAGCUGUUGGACAAAACAAAAAACAAGCUGUUUGAGAAGAUAAAACAGAGCUGUGUCUUUUUAUGCUGUGCCUGCUAAUUGACAGAAACUUCACAACUAUGAGUGGGAAUGUGACUAGAAGUGGCACAAAGUUAUCUAUCGUCAGGCUGGAUCUAAAGAACUAGCACCCUGCGUAUUCUAGCUCCUGAUUGUUCCCUUCAUAUCUGUCCAAUCAUUAUCUUUCCCAGAAGCAGUGCAAAGAGCAAGACAUUUGAACACACCAAAGGAAGAUCAACAUGCCUGGCACUCUAGAAUUUUAGAAUAGCAGAAUGAAUGUGUCUUUGUUUGCUUAUCUAUUUCUUCCUUGAAUGUCUUUGGUCUUUCUCCUCUAACUAAAGUGUGUCUUACCCAUUUCCAUGAUUCUCUUACUAGUUUCUUCUCUGUAUAUCUUUGUCUCAUUUUCUUUCUUGUACCGAAGAGUGGUCUGUGUCUUGUCUUAGAUGUCUCUCUCUAGUUUUUUCAUUUUGUUACUGAUUCUCCUUGCUCUCCUAGAUCUGGCUCUUCUUUCACUGCUCGUCUCUUUGUGUCUCUUGAGUCACAUGCUGUGUGCCUUUUGCUCAUUUCUUGCUAUGCCUACCUCUCUUCUUUUUCUCUUUGUGAACUGUUUGUCACCCCCUCCCCUUGAUGGUUUGACAUUUCACCUUUUCUGAUACUGGCCACCCUUCUGCUGUUUCUACUCUUUAUCUUGCAUUGCUCUUUUCUACAUAUUCUUUCUGCCUCUCUUGGGCCAUUUUCUCUUUUUUUCCUGCUUUGUGUGCCCCAGUGUCUCUUUGUUCUUUGUGAUUUUCCAUGUCAGCAUUCACCUCUGUGUUCUCUUAUUUCUUCUCUGCUUUUGCCUUUCUACUUACCUUUGAGUAUUUCAGUCUCUUCUUGAGUCUGUGUCUCCCCCACUUUGAUUUCAUGCAGUCCUCUCUCCUUGCAUAUUUUUUGUGCAUGUGUGUGUGCAUGCUUUUGUGUGUGUGUGUGUUUGUAACAAAGGGGUCUCCUAACCCCUUCCUAAUAGGUGCAGAGUGUCAGCUAUCAAAAUAUAAGCAUUGAAGAGCUGUUCCUUAUGCCAGGCCGCCUGUGAGAUGAUCCAAGACCAAUAAAAGGCCCAAAGGUCUAGACUGGAGUUGGACGGAAGACUCAAGUCUCGGUGAGACAGAAGGCCAAAGACCCAGGAUGGGAUGAAAAGCCUUCGCUUGAAGACCUAUGACCCAAAAAUGGAAGGGCCCAAGCACACAUAAAGACCCAGAACUCAAGCCUGUCUAUACAGACAGAAGGCCCAAGAGAGACAGAUAUCUCCAGACUAAAUUAGGCGGGAAGCUGGAGGCCCAUGACCCAGAAUCCAGGAAGGAUAGAAGCCCCAAGACCAAAGGAAAUUCCAAGAUGAGAACCCUAAACCGCAGCUCUUUUCUAUUGUUCUCCUCCCUACUCUUGGACAUUUUCAGUUCUCCCUUUCCUGUUCUCAUAUCUCCAUUUAAACCCACUUCUUUUGAGAUGUCAUUUUUGAUGUUGCUGCUACUUUAAAGAAACACACCUUUAGAUCAGUAAUAUUAUGCCUGGGCCAGUCUUAAGCCAGUUUUUAUCGCACUUUUAAGCCAUUUAUUAAGGUUUUGGUGUUUUGCAAAGUUCCAUUUCUCUUCACCUCCUCUCCACUUGAGAGGGACACAUAGGUGACUUUAUAUUUCAGUCCCCUCUUUCCUCAGAAGCUCUAGGCUGAUGAGAGAAGUAAAGCAUCAGGUUACUGAGUGGAAAAAAAGUGCCAGGCUAUCUAGAGAAAAUGUGAAGAGAUGCUCCAGGCCAAUGAGAAGAACUAGACAAGAAAUACACAGAUGUGCCAGCUUGCUGAGAAGUGCCAGCUUGCUGAGAAGCACCAGCCAGCAACAUAUUACUUCUUUGAGCUUGGGUGAGCAGGAUUCCUGAGGUUUGGGGUUCCUACUGAUAGUUAUGAAAAAGGAGGAUUGGGCCUGGGAAAGAGUGAGGCCCCAAGGAAGCAGCCUGAACUCCCUGCUCAUAGUAGUGGCCUAAUAAUGUGGUAAACUGUACCAAUCCUGCCCCUGUGUUUAAUACCUACCUCUAGGCAUAAAGAUGAGAGAAGGUGGGAAUAUUUAGGAGGUUUAAUCGCUUCCUUGAUAUUUUUCCUCUUACCAUGAGGAAAGAUAAUUUUAAUGAUUGAGAUUAUAUAUGAAAGCACUGUAAAACACAGAAAAAAAGCAAGGCAUUCUCAUUAAUGGUGUAUUGGCAUCCAUGCACAGCUAACAUUUGAAAAUGAACUGCCAGUUGUGAAGCAUUAUGUAAAUCGGGGUCAUCACACCCUUUCUGAAAGGGUCGGAUGGUAAAUAUUGUAGGUUUUACGGGCCAUUUGGUCUCUGUUGCUUUUUUUAAAAAAAGCAAGUGAAUUUGGUCUGUGGGCCACAGUUUAUCACCCCUGAUGUAAUUGCCAGGGACUGUGUGCUGAACAAUAUUAAUUUCCUUCUGUGUGCCUGUCCCUGUGUUAGACACUAAAGAUGCAAUGACUAUGAUUAUAUCUAGGUGAUCUGAAGAAAAAUAUGUGAAUGUGAGUUGUAAACUAUAAAGCACUUUAAAGACUUACAAGUUUCAGAGUUGAUGAAUGAACAUUGAUUACAUAGUAUAUACAUUCUAGGCACUGUAGAUACAAGGAAUAAAAGAAGCAUGAAUAAAGUGCUUUGUCAAAAGUAUGUAAUACUGUACAGAUAUUAGGAAUUAAGUGUUUGAUAAAUGAAUAAUUCAUGUAUUUCUGGCCAUUGUGUUUCUGUGGCUAUGGUGAUUUUGAGUAAAAAUACAGUAUUCCAAGUCGCAGAAGAGAAAACAUAAAAACUGCUUUUAAACUAUAAAAUACACUGGAAAUACAAGGGAUUUAAGCUAUUGUGAUCACUUAUAAUGUGCCAGAUACCAUGCUAGGCACUACAGAUGUCAAAGGGAAAAAAAUGUUCUCAUUAUAGAACAAUUAAAAUUUUUAGAUAGGCAAUACAUAUUAAAGUGCUUUGUACUAAAGCACUGUAUAAAUACCAAUGGGCUAUAUGUUUAUAAUGAAUGAAUAAGUAUUAAGUGCCUUAUAUGUACCAGCUAUUGUUUCAGGUACUAUGAAAUCCAAGAUAAUGCUCCCAAGUAAUAAGAGGGAGGUUUAUGUCCUAUACUAUUUGGAUGUAAAAAUUAGAUCUUGCUUAUUUUAAUCAAUAAAGACUUUACUGGUGAUAUCAAAUUAAAUUAUUACCAGUAUAUUUUCCCUGGUAGCAGGAAAAUGUAAUGAAUGAGAUUGAGCUUUCUAACUAUAACGUGCUGUAUAAAUAUAAGACAUUAGAUGUUUUCUAUGUGAACAAACUUAUGUGAGACAGGCAUGGUCUCUACAAAAUUCUCAUUGUGUGCUUGACCCAUAUGAGAAAGGUGGUAUAAAUAGUUAUACAAACUGAGGGUUUAAAUGCUUGUUAAAUGAAUGGAUUAUUAAUAUCAGUUGCCUACUAUGUGAACUCACCGUUAUAGGCAUAAAGAGAUAUACAAAUUUAUCAUUUUAUUGUGCCUAAAGCUGAGAAUAAGGCAAUGUUAGCAUUUUGUGGACUCUAAAGCACCAUAUAAAUGUAACUAUUGAUUUUUUCAUUUGGUGUGCCUAGUACUAGGUUUACAAAAUUAUAUCACAGUUACUAUACCAUGAAAAAAAGUCAAAAAAUUUGAGGAAGGAUUGUUAACUAUUGAACAUUUUUAUAUGUAAAGGAUUAGAUAUCUGAUGAAUGCAAGACUGGAUAAUAAUUAUCUAUUAUGUGCCAGUCUCCUUGAUAAGCAUCAGGGAUGUGAAGAUAGUCCAUCUUUCUUGUGUUCUGGGCAGCAGAAGGUAAUGUAUAAAAUCAAUUUGUAAGUCUUAAACUGGCAUAUAUAAAUAUAUAAGCCAUAUCUGCUGAAUGGACAUUGAUUACUUACUCUCUCUUAUUCCCAGAGAUAGCAACUGGGGAUGCAAAAAUUCAUCGUCAUUAUUAUUGAACCUGCAACAGAGAUCUGUGUGUAAAUUUUACAAAGCCUACUGUUCUAUACAGAUAUAAGGAAUUAACUGUUGGCUUAAUGAAUGAUUACUGAUUCCUUUCUAUGAGGCUCAGAACUGCACAUGCACUAGGAUAUAAAAAUGAUGUUAUCCUUAUCAGAUGGUCACAGGAGGAAAUGAGGUAACAGGUGUGGGAAUCCAGAUUGAAAGUUACUUAACCACUGCCAAGCCUAUUUGAUGAAAUUUAAAAACAUGGGCAAAAUGGAAUUGUGCAAGGCAGUAUGCUGAAUGCUGAGCUAGGUGGAAAGAUAAAAUCUAUACCAGAAGGCUACUUGCUCCCUGGCCUGACCAAAGAAAUGGGAAUUUUUUUUUUUAAAGCAAGGUGUUAUGGUUCUCCAUUGGUCUUUUAAAUGCUGAAGAUGGAGGUGAAUUAGAUCCACCCUGGCCUGGCUUAGAGACAUUAAAGGAGUAAAAAAUGGCUCAGGUUGGCUUUUAGAUUAAUUUGAUUAACAGAGCAUCUUUUAUGUGGAAUACAUCAUUCUAGGUCCUGAACAUAACAGAAUUGAAAUGGGCCUAGUCUAAAGGGCAUUAGAUAGAUCACAGAUCAUAGCUGAAGAUCCAGAAACACCUUUGAUUUUUGAGUAAAUACUUGAGUUCCUGUUCUCUGGAUGAAUUAGUAGAUUAAGUCUGGUCCAGAAAACCUAUUGACUUGUCUUGGAAUUGAAAAAAUAGGAAAAAAAAAAAAAGAUAUGGUUCUUUCAAUAUAAAAUGAAGACAUUUUUCCUGGCUCUAGAAAGUCCCAAUGUCACUUGCUCAUUGACCUAGCUUGAAGCCAGAAGACUGAUAAAAGGCCUUAGGGUUUGUCCUUUAAUUCUUUAACAUUCUGCUUUUAUUAUAGUUAAAUUAAGAUGAGAAUUAAGAUGAAACAACUAGUUUUAAAAGUAUUUGCUCAUUGGCUUCAUAAGUCAGGAAGCCACUUAACAAAAAAGAUUCUUCCUAAAUUUUCCAUAUUUUGUAAAUUAUUCACUUGAAUGAAAUACUGUUCUGCUGAGGAGAAUGAAGAGAUUUAAAAGACCUAGACCAAAAUACACUUUAAUCUAACUAGCUUAUGGAGGAAACACAAGAGCAAAUUUAAUAAGAGACUGCAGUUCUUUCAUUAGUUGAAAAAACUUCAUUGAGCAGUUGUGAUAUUAAGACACUGAGAUGGAAUGAUUAAUUAGAUCACCUUCUCUUUGGCAUGUUUUGUAGAGUAGGAAUAAGAGAGCUUUUUAGUUAUUCAUUCACACAAACAUUGAAGAAGGUGAUGCUAAAUGAAAUUGAUCUGGUACAAAAUGCACUUGGAGAUGCAAUUAAAAAAAACAAGAAAUUGAGUGAAACUCUUCAUUGAAUAGAAGUGUCUAUUCUAUUUCAGAUCUUGACUGAAAGACACUUGCUUGGCUUGGAAAUUGGAAUAUAAGAGGAGAGGUUACUGUUUAUUCAUUUUUUUCAUUUAUUCAUUCACUCUACAAGUAUGUUUGAGUGCCUAUUGUGUAUAAGCUCCUUAGCUAGGUUCUCAGUUGGCCCCAGAGACAUGAAAAAAUGAAUACCUUCCCAGAGAACUUUUAAAACUUGCCUCUUGGUCUGUUUUCUGGUUAGGGGUAUGGCUUAGUUCCUCAAUAAUAAUGUGUGGUUUAAUUCCUACUCCAUAUUUCUUCUACCACUCUGGCCACUACAAUAAGCAAGGGUUUCUACUGAGCUUGCUCCUUAAGUUGCAGGAACCUUCCUUAUAAUAAACACUUCAGUUUUCCUAACCCAUCCCUCAUGAAAAAUGGCUGUGACUGUUGGUGGGCAGAAAGAGGGAUGAAAAACAACUGAUUCCCAAACCUCAGUCUCAUUGGUACAAACCUCAGUCUCAUUGGUACCAGCCUUGGGGAACCACUCAUACUUAAGCCACAAUUGGUUUUGAAACAACACAGGUUUUGUCUAUUUUCAAUUCUUUACCUUUUACAUUCUAACAAAUAUACACUGCCUAAACAGAUCUCUUUAAAAAACAAUCCUCUGGUAGUACUUAGCAAGUUUGGAGAUGGAGACAUGAUUUCUGUUUUGCAACAGCUUCUCAACUUACAACUUAGAAAUCGUUUCCUUUUUACCAGCAAAACCUGAUUAAGAAAAGACUUAUUAUAAUUAAAUAAUGCAGUGAAUGAAAAUAGCUUAACAAUUUACCAUGCUUAAGUUUUAAGAAUGAUAAAAAUUGGAAGUAAUUGGCAAAAAUUGGACGGAAAAAUUACCAAAAAAAUCUUCUAUAUCUAGGCCCAAAUGGGUUUUGGCCUUUUCUGUUUUUUAAAUCACUCACAGAGGGUGGGAUAGGAGGAAGAGUGAAAGAAAAGGUCAAACCUGAUUCUAAAAAGGGUUGGCCUUAAAAGCAUUACUACCUCUGAAUCUAACUUGGGGAUUGCUGUUUUUAGUUUAAUGCAAUUCCAGUAACUGGUCACUGUUGAGAUGAGGACAAAGUCCUUUGUCCCCACUCAUUUCUGUAAGUUUUUGAGAAACAAUUUUUUGUUUAAUGGUUAUUGAUUAAGCCUUGGGUUAGAUAAUUAUGGAAUUUAUUAAUUAAAUCUAUGUUACCUCUCCAUCAUAAGGUAGUCUUAAAGCUAAAGUCAAAAUUCACUGCAGAGGAACAGGACUUUAUUCACUAUAAUUCUUACAUACUUUCAAACCAUCUAAACUUUAGUUUACAUGGCAAGCCAACAAUAACAUAAGUAAAUGGAGAAGGAAAUAGAUGAAUGGCAAAAGAUAGUUGCUGGAGGGAGCAAAUUUGAAGAGGAUUUGAAGGUGAUGUUUCUAGUUUUUGCUUUGCACAUUUUAAUUUAAUCAUCAGGUAUAUCUGACAUGUUAAUAAUGUUUGGUGUUUAAUAUGUGCUAUUAGCUGGAUUCAGUAACUCCCCUUUCUUCAGAUGGGGGUGGGGGGUGCAUUAUUGGAAAGUAGAAAGGAGAAAGUAACUAAGAGCCUUCCUUUCACAGUUUCUGGCAUCCCAAGACUACCACUACUGCUAAACAAGAAUAAGAGAACAUGUUAUCAUCUGAUUUUUGUGGCAUAAAUGAAGUUGUGAAAAAAUCUUUUUUUACAAAGGAAAUGGCUUCAUCUUUAUCCUUCUACCUCAAAGGGAAUCUAUGCCAAAAUGCUCCGAUGAAUGGAAGGCACACUUGGACUUGUGAACUGAAGUGAAACGCAGAAUCUCUGAGCCAUGGCUGUUUUGAAGAUCGAAAAGUCUUGUUCAGCAUGGGUGACCAGCAAAAAAGCAAUCUAGAGCUGUCUGUAUGUCACAACUGAGACAAAUUGGGGAGUUUGUUGUUUAAUGCCAAAUAAAAAUGUACUGUUUUGAAAA